AUUGAACGCUGGCGGCAGGCCUAACACAUGCAAGUCGAGCGGCAGCGACUUAACUGAACCUUCGGGGAACGUUAAGGGCGGCGAGCGGCGGACGGGUGAGUAAUGCCUGGGAAUAUGCCCUGAUGUGGGGGAUAACUAUUGGAAACGAUAGCUAAUACCGCAUAAUCUCUUCGGAGCAAAGAGGGGGACCUUCGGGCCUCUCGCGUCAGGAUUAGCCCAGGUGGGAUUAGCUUGUUGGUGAGGUAAUGGCUCACCAAGGCAACGAUCCCUAGCUGGUCUGAGAGGAUGAUCAGCCACACUGGAACUGAGACACGGUCCAGACUCCUACGGGAGGCAGCAGUGGGGAAUAUUGCACAAUGGGGGAAACCCUGAUGCAGCCAUGCCGCGUGUGUGAAGAAGGCCUUCGGGUUGUAAAGCACUUUCAGUGGGGAGGAAGGUAGUGUAGUUAACACCUGCAUUAUUUGACGUUACCUACAGAAGAAGCACCGGCUAACUCCGUGCCAGCAGCCGCGGUAAUACGGAGGGUGCGAGCGUUAAUCGGAAUUACUGGGCGUAAAGCGCAUGCAGGCGGCCUGUUAAGUCAGAUGUGAAAGCCCGGGGCUUAACCUCGGAAUUGCAUUUGAAACUGGCAGGCUAGAGUCUUGUAGAGGGGGGUAGAAUUUCAGGUGUAGCGGUGAAAUGCGUAGAGAUCUGAAGGAAUACCAGUGGCGAAGGCGGCCCCCUGGACAAAGACUGACGCUCAGAUGCGAAAGCGUGGGGAGCAAACAGG
This 769-nucleotide ribosomal RNA is filed under the name uncultured bacterium. RNAcentral's name for it is "bacterial SSU rRNA". It matches the Rfam family "Bacterial small subunit ribosomal RNA", at positions 28 to 776 of the family's 1533-position model. The record is from RNAcentral.